RNAcentral lists this ribosomal RNA (487 nucleotides) under Levilactobacillus brevis. RNAcentral's name for it is "bacterial SSU rRNA". It matches the Rfam family "Bacterial small subunit ribosomal RNA", at positions 56 to 509 of the family's 1533-position model. The record is from RNAcentral. Lineage: Bacteria; Bacillati; Bacillota; Bacilli; Lactobacillales; Lactobacillaceae.
UGCAAGUCGAACGAGCUUCCGUUGAAUGACGUGCUUGCACUGAUUUCAACAAUGAAGCGAGUGGCGAACUGGUGAGUAACACGUGGGAAAUCUGCCCAGAAGCAGGGGAUAACACUUGGAAACAGGUGCUAAUACCGUAUAACAACAAAAUCCGCAUGGAUUUUAGUUUGAAAGGUGGCUUCGGCUAUCACUUCUGGAUGAUCCCGCGGCGUAUUAGUUAGUUGGUGAGGUAAAGGCCCACCAAGACGAUGAUACGUAGCCGACCUGAGAGGGUAAUCGGCCACAUUGGGACUGAGACACGGCCCAACUCCUACGGGAGGCAAGCAGUAGGGAAUCUUCCACAAUGGACGAAAGUCUGAUGGAGCAUGCCGCGUGAGUGAAGAAGGGUUUCGGCUCGUAAAACUCUGUUGUUAAAGAAGAACACCUUUGAGAGUAACUGUUCAAGGGUUGACGGUAUUUAACCUAAAGCCACGGCUAACUACGUGCC